AGAGUUUGAUCCUGGCUCAGGAUGAACGCUGGCGGCGUGCCUAAUACAUGCGAGUCGAACGAGGAACUUUUGUAUUCGUACAGAGGUUUCCUAGUGGCGAACGGGUGAGUAACGCGUUGGUGACCUGCCCCGAAGAGAGGGAUAACAGUUCGAAAGAACUGCUAAUACCUCAUGUGAUCAUAAGGAUUAGAUGCCUUUUGAUUAAAUGGAUUUAUUCGCUUCGGGAGGGGCCUGCGUCCCAUCAGCUAGUUGGUAGGGUAAUGGCCUACCAAGGCGAUGACGGGUAGGGGACCUGAGAGGGUGACCCCCCACACUGACACUGAAACACGGGUCAGACACCUACGGGUGGCAGCAGUAGGGAAUAUUGGUAAUGGGCGAAAGCCUGAACCAGCAACGCCGCGUGCGCGAUGAAGGCCUUCGGGUUGUAAAGCGCUUUUUGAGGGGAUGAGGAAGGACAGUACCCUCAGAAUAAGCCUCGGCUAACUACGUGCCAGCAGCCGCGGUAAAACGUAGGAGGCAAGCGUUAUUCGGAUUUACUGGGCGUAAAGCGCGUGCAGGCGGCUCGAUAAGUUGGAUGUGAAAGCUCCUGGCUCAACUGGGAGAGGUCGUUCAAUACUGUCGGGCUAGAGGAUGAGAGAGGGAGGUGGAAUUCCAGGUGUAGUGGUGGAAUGCGUAGAUAUCUGGAGGAACACCAGUGGCGAAGGCGGCCUCCUGGCUCAUUUCUGACGCUAAGACGCGAAAGCUAGGGUAGCAAACGGGAUUAGACCCCGGUAGUCCUAGCUGUAAACGAUGUAGACUUGGCGUUGGUGGGGUAAAAUCCAUCAGUGCCGUAGCUAACGCGAUAAGUCUACCGCCUGGGGACUACGAUCGCAAGAUUAAAACUCAAAGGAAUUGACGGGUCCCCGCACAAGCAGCGGAGCGUGUGGUUUAAUUCGAUGAUACGCGAAGAACCUUACCAGGGUUUGACAUAUAAGUGGUAGGGAUCCGAAAGGUGACCGACCCUUCGGGGAGCUUAUACAGGUGCUGCAUGGCUGUCGUCAGCUCGUGUCGUGAGAUGUUCGGUUAAGUCCGCUAACGAGCGCAACCCUCGUCGUGUGUUACAAGUGUCACGCGAGACCGCCGGUUUCAAGCCGGAGGAAGGUGAGGAUGACGUCAAGUCAGCAUGGCCUUUAUAUCCUGGGCUACACACACGCUACAAUGGCUGGUACAAUUGGUCGCGAAACCGCGAGGUGGAGCCAAUCCUUAAAGCCAGCCUCAGUUCAGAUUGUAGGCUGCAACUCGCCUGCAUGAAGAUGGAGUUGCUAGUAAACGCAGGU
RNAcentral lists this ribosomal RNA (1316 nucleotides) under metagenome. RNAcentral describes it as "bacterial SSU rRNA". It matches the Rfam family "Bacterial small subunit ribosomal RNA", at positions 8 to 1349 of the family's 1533-position model. The record is from RNAcentral.